Molecule: long non-coding RNA, 4361 nt
Filed under: Sus scrofa (pig)
Lineage: Eukaryota; Metazoa; Chordata; Mammalia; Artiodactyla; Suidae
Description: lncRNA (ENSSSCG00050065951.1)
Source: RNAcentral
ACUGGAUGUCUGGGUGUUGGCGGAAGUGUGAUGGAUAAUUCGAGACAUCGGAAUACAGAGUAGGAGGAAGGCGUUAUAAACCGGCCCCGAGGACACAGCUUCUGCUUCUGCUCCAUGGCUGGGCGACACACCGGAGUGGCUCUGGGUCUCUGUCUCUGCAGCGGAAGGAAGAUUGCAAGAUGUCAGCCGAGGGCCAAGCAGGUGGAAAAUAAGUCGUGUUAUCUGUCUGGCGGUUGAUCUCGCCAGCCCUGGGCUCCACUGCCAGAGCUGGUGGAGGAGACAAACCGGUAACCAGGCAGCGCCUCAAAGACAGGGAAUCAUGUGAUGGUGGAAGAGAGGAGCACAUCAGGGAAGGGCUCCGAAGCCACACCCGUGUUAGGACCUGCACUUGUCCCAGCCGGGAGGAGCAGCAGGUGCAAAGGUCCUGAGGCACGGUCUCCGGGAUGAAUCGAAGUGUUCUGGGGCAAAGGGGACGUGGUCCUGAUGCAGUCAGGUCAGUGCUCGGUGGCGGGACCGUUUCAGGUCCGCGAGGUCCCGAACGUGGGCCGAUCCUCAGCGGUGCUGGUGAGCCGGGGGAGGCGGGGCAGACGCUGAAGAUUACGGCAAAGAGAAGCUCGGAGACUUGGGGUGGGUUUUACUCAUCUGUGUCACGGUAGCCUCAACCCUGAGAGCUGCCCCUGUUCCUGUCCCCAGUGGUGACAAGAGUGACAUCGCCUCCCUGAAACCUGUGCUGCCCCGUUUCAUUAAGAGGAGAGAGAGAGAGAGAUGGCCUUUCAGGUUAGGACGUUACAGGGAUGAGAAAGGAGACAGUAAGAGAAAAACAGCCCCGCAGCGCACCAUUCAUCCCACUCUCUCUCUCCCUCAUCUCGCCCAACUGGUACCCGAACGUUGGGGAUAAGAAGUGUGGGCGCCGGCGGGUGGCACCUGUGGCAGGGCUUCUCCCUCCGCGACACAGGAAUCAGUACGGCCACGUGCUGGUCUCCCCGUAACCCCCGUUCUUUACUCUGGGGAGUCGGGGCUCCACGCUGCUCGCGUUCCCAGGGCCGCAGCCAGACGCCUGGUGCAGUUGCUGCAGACUCAGAGGCAUCACUCAGAAACCCGUGACCGAGGUCCUUCUGCUGUUACAUCCGAGGCUGAGGCCGCCCUUGCCCGGCGCGUCUCCCCUGGUCCCUUCGUCCUCCUGUGGAAGGCGCUGUUGACCAUCACCCGGAAUCCCGGCUCCCGGCCGCAGAGGAGCCGGGUCAGGCUUCGUUAGGACUCACACGCGUUCCUGCUUCAUCCGGUUCGUGGGAAGUUCCCCGAGCAUCUCAGGGCUGCAUGUGGGGCCAGACAGAUGGGGAACGGCCCAUCGGCCACCACGGCCCAUCCGCCUGUGACCCGUCCUAAGGAGCUUCAGUGUAGGGGCUGGGGACGUGGGAAGGGGUCAUGACGUGGCUCUAGGGCUCCCGAAACCAAGUGCCGUAGGUGUGGGCGGGGCGGGGGCGUGGCGCUCAAACACAGAAAUUUACCGUCUCCGCGGGCUGAGUCCAGAAUCAAGGCAGGUGUCAGGAGGAGGGGACACGGACCAGGAAGCGGGAGUAGGACACUGACAGGUGGAGAGAGGCCUCGACGGGGAGCAUCGUGAUACUAUGACCUCUUUAGAGAAAAAUAACAGGAAAGGCUCUGACCUCAGGGGCCGUGUGGCUCCAGACCACAGAUUGUCCGUGUCACGAAUACUGAUGCGAUCACAGCUAAAUCCCAAGCAGUGCUGACCCUGUGCCAGGCGCCUGGCAUGAGCUGAGCAUGAACUUUCUCUUAACUCUGCAGCCUAACGAGGCCAGGGAGGGCAUGGCCUUUCUUGCACCGACAGGCAGCUGGGCUUCGGACAGUCCAAUGACAUGCCCAAGGUCCCACAGCUGGCAGCCCUUGCCCCAGGCCUGUGCCCCACAGCCCAGGCCCUGCCCUGCCACUGGCAGACGGGGUCUGAUCCCUUGCAAGGCUGCCCAAAGUGGCUGAGCUCUUAAAAUAAAACAGAUUCUCAGAGCCCACCCCCAGAAAUGGGAUUUGGCGCGUCUGGGGAGAGGCCACUGCUGUGCGUUCAGAGCCUUCGUGGUGGUUCCGAUGGGAAACAAGGACAGAAGUUCUAGCUUUGUGGGGUGGAUUCUGUGCUGACCAACUCCCCCCCCAGCGGGGGAGGGGGGUCCUUGAGGUUCCAUCUUGGUGGGAAGGAGGCGCGGCAAAACCUAAAAGACGGGGCUUCUGUGCUUGGUUCUACCGCCAACCAGCUGUCUGCUUUUGGACGAGUCCUGUGGUCUCUCUGGGGUUUAGUUCUUGGUGUGUCACAGUGGGUGUGGACCAGAGGACCCCUGAGAUGGCCUUGGGCUUCAUCAGGCGACUGAUCCGCUGAGCUGCAGCAUCAGGAGAUGACAGAUUCCGUAACGGAAGCUGAGACGUCUGUGUGCGUUUUCUCAGGCUCCGGAAACCCAGUACCAUAGCCGGGCCUGAAACCACAGAAACUCAGCGUCACUGCUGCGGAGGCUGGAGUUUAAAACCAAGGUGUUGCUUCUGCGCCGGGAGGGAGACUCUGCGCCCGGGCUGCCCCCUGCCUCAGAUGGCCCACGUCUCAUCUCCAGGAAAGAGCACCAGCACUCCUGCUCCCUGCCAUGGGGGAGCACGUCCACUCCAGGGCCUGCCGGGUGGGCACCAGCACGCAGCUGUCUCUCUGCCCCCUGACCCGGGGGUGCCUGGGAGCCUGGCCACCUGGCUCCAGGUGAGGCAGCAGCCUGCCCCUGUGGCUGGGGAGCAGGGAAUCCGCAGACUCCAUCAUGUCUUCUGGAGGGAUCGCUGGCUCUUGGCUCUUCUCGCCUUGGUCCCUUCCGUGGGGACCCCGCAUGCUGUGGGGUCAGGAGGUGUGGGGAGGGGGGACGUGGUCUGGGGCUCAGACAGAACAGGCCUAAGGGGUUUAGGAGCAUCCCGGUGGCCUCGCCUCCCAGCACCCACAUUUACACAUGGCUUCUCUGCAGUCCUGAGGCUCCAGCCAUAUCCUCUGACCUCUUCUCAGCAAGGCAGGUGCCAGGGAACGUCCAGGCUCCUGGGAGAGCCUGUGCUUCUCCCUCAAGAGUAGGAGGGAUUGUUCCAGAAGCUCAGGCGCCCGAGCACAGCCCCAAGUGCUGGCAGUCAUGACGGGUGUCCACCAGCCUCCUUAGGAAGACGUCCACCAGCUGCGGACACUUAAAUGUGCAAAAUAGGGCGCAUGUUCAAGGUGAUGGGCCGGUUCCUGCAGGGCCAGAGAAAGGGCGCCUCAGCUUCCAGAGCCGCUCCGCUGAUAGCCAGGGAAUUCUACAGAGGCGAGGGCUCUGCUUUGCCGCAGGGUAAGGCAUUUAAAUGUUCUAAAGCCCAAAAGUGACUUCUAGAUGUGGUGGUGUGGACUUGGGGAGGCAGCUAGGACUUUAGCACCAGGCAAGCAGGGCCGAGGUCUUAAGUGGGACCCCAGACCAGCAGCAUCUGCACAGCGUGGCCUGGGAACUUGUUAGAAAUGGGAAUGCAGACCUGGGGCGGGGGGCGGGGGUGUGUGUGCCAGGGGUCAGGACCCCCCCAGGACAGAAGUCCGCACGUGGGGUUCAGCGGGUGGUGUGGAUAAUAGAGAGUGAGAAGCUGUGUUUAGUUCACCAUGACUGGCUUCCUGGGAGCAGUUGUGAGUUUGAGGAAGAAAAGGAGCCUAUGAUAAAAAUAAAUGGAAGACAUACAUCCUUCCGGAACCCAAACAAUGCAACCAGAGUAACUUCCGGAACACAGCUGGGAGGCAGAGGCAGCAGGGAGGCCGGCCAGGUCCUGGCUGGGGGGACAGCCCCCUCUGGGGACUGUCAUCAUCGAUGCAUUGGUUCAUUCACAAAGAUUGGGGCGUGGAUGACGGGUCUCGCGGGAGGUGCUCAGCCGACAUCAGGAUGCGAAUGGGUGUUUGCGCUGAGAAGCAAGGGAACAGAGUGAGAGGAGAGGGCGCUGGACAGACAGACGCUGGGCUCAGAGCUGGAACCCAUCCGUAAAGCCCCAGCAGCCUCCGAGCCCAGGCCUCUGGAAGCACCUGGACGGGACCCGUCCGUCUCGGGCAUUCGCCCCGAAGUCAUCCAUGUGUCACAAGGCAGUGCACUUAUCUGGGUAAGAGUUCUGUCACAGUGAAGAGCUGAGUCACACCCGUCUCCUCACUAACAAGUUGCGGAAACACGAAGCAGAGACGUUACAGUAAAAAUGGUGGAAGCUGGAGGCCCCCGAUGGCUCAGCGGGGUCAGGAUCUGGUGUCCUCACAGCUGUGGCUCGGGUUUGAUCCGUGGCCCAGGAACUUCCGGACUCUGAGGGUGCGGCCAAAAAAGAAAAAAAAAAAAAAA